CAGUAGCCGCGGUAAUACGUAGGUCCCGAGCGUUGUCCGGAUUUAUUGGGCGUAAAGCGAGCGCAGGCGGUUAGAUAAGUCUGAAGUUGAAGGCUGUGGCUUAACCAUAGUACGCUUUGGAAACUGUUUAACUUGAGUGCAAGAGGGGAGAGUGGAAUUCCAUGUGUAGCGGUGAAAUGCGUAGAUAUAUGGAGGAACACCGGUGGCGAAAGCGGCUCUCUGGCUUGUAACUGACGCUGAGGCUCGAAAGCGUGGGGAGCAAACAGGAUUAGAUACCCCUGUAGUCCCUGUCUCUUAUACC
This 301-nucleotide ribosomal RNA is filed under the name uncultured bacterium. RNAcentral's name for it is "partial 16S ribosomal RNA". It matches the Rfam family "Bacterial small subunit ribosomal RNA", at positions 509 to 808 of the family's 1533-position model. The record is from RNAcentral.